UGGGGAAUAUUGGACAAUGGGCGAAAGCCUGAUCCAGCCAUGCCGCGUGUGUGAAGAAGGUCUUCGGAUUGUAAAGCACUUUAAGUUGGGAGGAAGGGCAGUAAAUUAAUACUUUGCUGUUUUGACGUUACCGACAGAAUAAGCACCGGCUAACUCUGUGCCAGCAGCCGCGGUAAUACAGAGGGUGCAAGCGUUAAUCGGAAUUACUGGGCGUAAAGCGCGCGUAGGUGGUUCGUUAAGUUGGAUGUGAAAUCCCCGGGCUCAACCUGGGAACUGCAUUCAAAACUGACGAGCUAGAGUAUGGUAGAGGGUGGUGGAAUUUCCUGUGUAGCGGUGAAAUGCGUAGAUAUAGGAAGGAACACCAGUGGCGAAGGCGACCACCUGGACUGAUACUGACACUGAGGUGCGAAAAGCGUGGGGAGCAAAACAGGAUUAGAUACCCUGGUAGUCCACGCCGUAAAACGAUGUCAACUAGCCGUUGGGAGCCUUGAGCUCUUAGUGGCGCAGCUAACGCAUUAAGUUGACCGCCUGGGGAGUACGGCCGCAAGGUUAAAAC
RNAcentral lists this ribosomal RNA (556 nucleotides) under uncultured bacterium. RNAcentral's name for it is "partial 16S ribosomal RNA". It matches the Rfam family "Bacterial small subunit ribosomal RNA", at positions 355 to 900 of the family's 1533-position model. The record is from RNAcentral.